This 253-nucleotide ribosomal RNA is filed under the name uncultured bacterium. RNAcentral's name for it is "partial 16S ribosomal RNA". It matches the Rfam family "Bacterial small subunit ribosomal RNA", at positions 524 to 776 of the family's 1533-position model. The record is from RNAcentral.
GACGAAGCGUCCAAGCGUUAUUCGGAAUCACUGGGCUUACAGGGUGCGUAGGCGGCUAUUCAGGUCAGGUGUGAAAGCCCCCGGCUCAACCGGGGAACUGCGCUUGAAACCGAGUGGCUCGAGUCAGCUAGAGGUACACGGAACUUCCAGUGGAGCGGUGAAAUGUGUUGAUAUUGGAAGGAACACCGGAGGCGAAAGCGGUGUACUGGGGCUGGUCUGACGCUGAGGCACGAAAGCCAGGGGAGCGAACGGG